Molecule: ribosomal RNA, 793 nt
Filed under: Acinetobacter rhizosphaerae
Lineage: Bacteria; Pseudomonadati; Pseudomonadota; Gammaproteobacteria; Moraxellales; Moraxellaceae
Description: bacterial SSU rRNA
Rfam family: Bacterial small subunit ribosomal RNA
Source: RNAcentral
GCUUAACACAUGCAAGUCGAGCGGGGGAAGGUAGCUUGCUACCGGACCUAGCGGCGGACGGGUGAGUAAUGCUUAGGAAUCUGCCUAUUAGUGGGGGACAACAUCUCGAAAGGGAUGCUAAUACCGCAUACGUCCUACGGGAGAAAGCAGGGGAUCUUCGGACCUUGCGCUAAUAGAUGAGCCUAAGUCGGAUUAGCUAGUUGGUGGGGUAAAGGCCUACCAAGGCGACGAUCUGUAGCGGGUCUGAGAGGAUGAUCCGCCACACUGGGACUGAGACACGGCCCAGACUCCUACGGGAGGCAGCAGUGGGGAAUAUUGGACAAUGGGCGCAAGCCUGAUCCAGCCAUGCCGCGUGUGUGAAGAAGGCCUUAUGGUUGUAAAGCACUUUAAGCGAGGAGGAGGCUACUUUAGAUAAUACCUAGAGAUAGUGGACGUUACUCGCAGAAUAAGCACCGGCUAACUCUGUGCCAGCAGCCGCGGUAAUACAGAGGGUGCAAGCGUUAAUCGGAUUUACUGGGCGUAAAGCGCGCGUAGGCGGCUAAUUAAGUCAAAUGUGAAAUCCCCGAGCUUAACUUGGGAAUUGCAUUCGAUACUGGUUAGCUAGAGUGUGGGAGAGGAUGGUAGAAUUCCAGGUGUAGCGGUGAAAUGCGUAGAGAUCUGGAGGAAUACCGAUGGCGAAGGCAGCCAUCUGGCCUAACACUGACGCUGAGGUGCGAAAGCAUGGGGAGCAAACAGGAUUAGAUACCCUGGUAGUCCAUGCCGUAAACGAUGUCUACUAGCCGUUGGGGCCUUU